AACGAACGCUGGCGGCGGGCCUCAUACAUGCAAGUCGAGCGCGAAAGUCCGCAAGGAUGAGUAAAGCGGCGCACGGGUGAGUAACACGUGGAUAAUCUACCCUUUGGAUUGGAAUAACCUGUCGAAAGACGGGCUAAUGCCGAGUAAGCUUACGAGUUCGUGAAGUUCUUGUAAGGAAAGAUGGCGCAAGCUAUCGCCGAUGGAUGAGUCUGCGUCCCAUUAGUUAGUUGGUGGGGUAAUGGCUUACCAAGACAAUGAUGGGUACCUGGUUUGAGAGAAUGAUCAGGCACACUGGAACUGAAACACGGUCCAGACUCCUACGGGAGGCAGCAGUAGGGAAUAUUGCGCAAUGGACGAAAGUCUGACGCAGCCACGCCGCGUGAGUGAGGAAGGCCUCGGGUUGGUUAAAGGACUCUGUCAUCC
RNAcentral lists this ribosomal RNA (423 nucleotides) under uncultured bacterium. RNAcentral describes it as "bacterial SSU rRNA". It matches the Rfam family "Bacterial small subunit ribosomal RNA", at positions 29 to 441 of the family's 1533-position model. The record is from RNAcentral.